UACGUAGGGCGCAAGCGUUGUCCGGAAUUAUUGGGCGUAAAGAGCUCGUAGGCGGCCUGUUGCGUCCGCUGUGAAAUCCCGGGGCUCAACCCCGGGCGUGCAGUGGAUACGGGCUGGCUGGAGGCAGGCAGGGGAGAACGGAAUUCCUGGUGUAGCGGUGAAAUGCGCAGAUAUCAGGAGGAACACCGGUGACGAAGGCGGUUCUCUGGGCCUGUACUGACGCUGAGGAGCGAAAGCGUGGGGAGCGAACAGG
This 253-nucleotide ribosomal RNA is filed under the name uncultured bacterium. RNAcentral describes it as "partial 16S ribosomal RNA". It matches the Rfam family "Bacterial small subunit ribosomal RNA", at positions 524 to 776 of the family's 1533-position model. The record is from RNAcentral.